UACGAAGGGGGCUAGCGUUGCUCGGAUUGACUGGGCGUAAAGGGCGCGUAGGCGGUUUGCACAGUCAGACGUGAAAUUCCUGGGCUCAACCUGGGGGCUGCGUUUGAUACGUGCAGGCUUGAGUUCGGAAGAGGGUCGUGGAAUUCCCAGUGUAGAGGUGAGAUUCGUAGAUAUUGGGAAGAACACCGGUGGCGAAGGCGGCGACCUGGUCCGAUACUGACGCUGAGGCGCGAAAGCGUGGGGAGCAAACAGG
RNAcentral lists this ribosomal RNA (253 nucleotides) under uncultured bacterium. Its description in RNAcentral is "partial 16S ribosomal RNA". It matches the Rfam family "Bacterial small subunit ribosomal RNA", at positions 524 to 776 of the family's 1533-position model. The record is from RNAcentral.